RNAcentral lists this ribosomal RNA (370 nucleotides) under uncultured organism. RNAcentral describes it as "bacterial SSU rRNA". It matches the Rfam family "Bacterial small subunit ribosomal RNA", at positions 526 to 896 of the family's 1533-position model. The record is from RNAcentral.
CGUAGGGUGCAAGCGUUAAUCGGAAUUACUGGGCGUAAAGCGUGCGCAGGCGGUUAUGUAAGACAGGUGUGAAAUCCCAGGGCUUAACCUUGGAACUGCAUUUGUGACUGCAUAGCUAGAGUACGGUAGAGGGGGAUGGAAUUCCGCGUGUAGCAGUGAAAUGCGUAGAUAUGCGGAGGAACACCGAUGGCGAAGGCAAUCCCCUGGACCUGUACUGACGCUCAUGCACGAAAGCGUGGGGAGCAAACAGGAUUAGAUACCCUGGUAGUCCACGCCCUAAACGAUGUCAACUGGUUGUUGGGUCUUCACUGACUCAGUAACGAAGCUAACGCGUGAAGUUGACCGCCUGGGGAGUACGGCCACAAGGUUG